RNAcentral lists this ribosomal RNA (508 nucleotides) under uncultured bacterium. RNAcentral's name for it is "bacterial SSU rRNA". It matches the Rfam family "Bacterial small subunit ribosomal RNA", at positions 19 to 518 of the family's 1533-position model. The record is from RNAcentral.
CUGGCUCAGGAUGAACGCUAGCUACAGGCUUAACACAUGCAAGUCGAGGGGCAGCACGGGAGUUGCUUGCAACUUCUGGUGGCGACCGGCGAAUGGGUGAGUAACGCGUAUCCAACCUGCCCUGUGCCCGGGAAUAGCCCUUGGAAACGAGGAUUAACGCCCGAUGGCGUGCAUUGACCGCAUGGGAAGUGCACUAAAUGCGAAGGCACGGGAUGGGGAUGCGUUCCAUUAGGUUGUUGGCGGGGUAACGGCCCACCAAGCCCGCGAUGGAUAGGGGUUCUGAGAGGAAGGUCCCCCACAUUGGAACUGAGACACGGUCCAAACUCCUACGGGAGGCAGCAGUGAGGAAUAUUGGUCAAUGGGCGGAAGCCUGAACCAGCCAAGUAGCGUGAGGGAUGACGGCCCUACGGGUUGUAAACCUCUUUUAUGCGGGGAUAAAGUGCGCCACGCGUGGCGUUUUGCAGGUACCGCAUGAAUAAGGACCGGCUAAUUCCGUGCCAGCAGCUGC